ACUCCUACGGGAGGCAGCAGUGGGGAAUUUUGGACACUGGGCGAAAGCCUGAUCCAGCAAUGCCGCGUGAGUGAAGAAGGCCUUCGGGUUGUAAAGCUCUUUUGUCAGGGAAGAAACGGUGAGAGCUAAUAUCUCUUGCUAAUGACGGUACCUGAAGAAUAAGCACCGGCUAACUACGUGCCAGCAGCCGCGGUAAUACGUAGGGUGCAAGCGUUAAUCGGAAUUACUGGGCGUAAAGCGUGCGCAGGCGGUUUUGUAAGUCUGAUGUGAAAUCCCCGGGCUCAACCUGGGAAUUGCAUUGGAGACUGCAAGGCUAGAAUCUGGCAGAGGGGGGUAGAAUUCCACGUGUAGCAGUGAAAUGCGUAGAUAUGUGGAGGAACACCGAUGGCGAAGGCAGCCCCCUGGGUCAAGAUUGACGCUCAUGCACGAAAGCGUGGGGAGCAAACAGGAUUAGAUACCCCAGUAGUCCAUGAU
RNAcentral lists this ribosomal RNA (474 nucleotides) under uncultured organism. RNAcentral describes it as "partial 16S ribosomal RNA". It matches the Rfam family "Bacterial small subunit ribosomal RNA", at positions 335 to 801 of the family's 1533-position model. The record is from RNAcentral.